CGCAGAUGAUGUGCACGAAUAUUUGCUAGCCGAGCCGCCCUGACGACUCACGACCACCAAGAUCGCUGAUGCG
Molecule: small nucleolar RNA, 73 nt
Organism: Sorex araneus (European shrew)
Lineage: Eukaryota; Metazoa; Chordata; Mammalia; Eulipotyphla; Soricidae
Product: small nucleolar RNA SNORD24
Exons: 1
Source: RefSeq, a predicted model, not a curated record